UUGAGGCCGCUUGGUUCAAGUGUCUCUGGGGGACUGUGUGCGUGGAACUGGUUUGGGUAGCAUGGGAACAGCCAGGCUCAGUCUGGGAAAGGAAGCAGGCUGUCCAUUGCUGUUGCGCAAUCCAAUUAGCUCUGAGUUGCACAGAUAAGAAACUGGACCAGAUCACCACAGAGCCUAUUUGUGACCAGUUGUGCAUCUGUUAGUUGGCUGGCAAACAAUUUGAAGCGUCAGCACAGGUUUUACUCAAAGCUUUUACCAGGGAUCUACAGGGAAGGGAAAACACUACUUUAAAUAACCACAUACAAGCUGAGUGUGGAGGAGGAAGUGAAGAAAAUUGGUUUGACCAGCUGGGCAAAGUGUGACUGUGCAUCUGGACAUGUCAGAUACCACAAACUGAGACAACAAACAUUUUAGAGAAAUGGUGUUGACUGCAUACUUGCUGACACUUAUCUUCAUCCAGACAGGGCUGUCUGUGAAAUUUAUUGUCCCACCAUGUGACAAAAACACAUUUGAUAGCGAUGUUCACAUCUGCCUGUCAGACUUCAACAACACCAUGGAGACGAAUAGCUAUCACGACAGAUGCCCGUGGCCGACUGUAAAACGCGACUACAACGAACUGAAGCUUUGUGUGGAUAACUCGGCAAACAAGACUUGGUGUAAGGGUCACAGAUUUCUGGUAGAUGAGGUCUUCUUGGGGAUCCAUGAGAAAUACUUUUUGCUCUGUGGACAGGUCCACGACCCCCCACUCACCACUCUCAUCUUUUUAAUAGCACCUUGUAUCAUUAUGACAUUCUUCCUGCCUCUUCUGUGCCAAAAACUCACCGCCUGGGACAUAGAGAUGCCCGGCAAAUUGGGGCUCUGACGUGCUGAGCUGACAAAGGAAAAUUGCAGUAUUUUUCAACGUAUUUUAUCUGUCACCAUGUAUACAACAAGAAUAUUUUUUCUGUUUUGUUGUUUUGUUCUGUUUUAUGCACAAGUACAGGUCACCUGUGUUUUGGUGCUCAGAGCGCAAUACACAAUCACUGUGGUUGCGUAGAUAAAAGAAAGAAAAAUUGAAGAAAAAAACAAGUGUAACUUGGUUAUCCAGUGGAGGGUUGGGAGGACAAUUUUUCAUUCUGAUUGGCAAACAUAAUUAUUUGAAUCAGAGUACACAGACAAAGAGCUAAAUCAAAUUAGAGGAAAGAGGAAGAAUGGCACCCAGCUGGAUCAAACUGGUAUCCCAACACAUAAUAAGCAACAGUGUUUAUAACGCCUAAAGCAAUCAAAGCCUUUCAUAACAUUUUUAAAAAAUGAUACCUAUGUUUGAGUUGAAUCAUUGUAUACAUGAGUCGUAAAAAAUGCUUUUACUAGAGAUGAAUAGGCAGUUAGUUUGUUUAGCUGGCCAAGACGUAGAAUCCUAUGCUGUUAGCAACAAUAGCUAAUCCAGAGGGCUGUUUUCUGUUUGGACUUUGGGUUGGACCUAAAGACGAGCGUUUGAAAGGACUUACGUAGAACUGAAGUUUACUCUGCUCACUCCAAUAUACUUUGUUUUGCUGGAGUCUGGUGUUUCCCAAAACGUCAAUGAGGUGGCAAGUGCAAAGUUGCAUGAGUCAUAUUGAAAACAAUUAUGAGAAUAAGACCCAGGUUGAAAAGCACUGCAAUUGUCCUUUAAAUAACAGAUACAUUAAUACACACAUACAAACACAGACCAAAAUACAGUAUACCACUCCACUACAGUCUGUUAAAAGUACAUAUUUUAGUAGGUAAAAUACACCUUUAAGAUGAUUACUAAACAGAGUGACCAACAUGAGUUUUUGAUAUUAUAUCUGGAAUAUUAUUAUGUAAGAGUCCAAUAGUAAUAUCCACUAAUAUCUAAUAUGUAUGGAUCUUAUAAUUUGCAUACUGAAACAUGACAUUGUAUGAUAUCAAAGGUGCAAGACAUGAUUGGCCGAUAUUAACUCCAAGGCAUCAUUCAAACUAAUUAUUGGUGUAGCCCAGUUUUUCUACUCAAAUGUCAAAUGUUCUAUAUCUCUCAGUGGCUGGAUGUGUCUUUUUGUACAUCAGCAAGCAUUAAACAUAUCAUGUACCAGCAAUCACAUUUUAGUAAAGGAAGUAAAGAAAACAUUCUCAAAAACAUUCUCACUGCGGGUAAUAAAUAUGCUGUAUAUUUGCUCACUGUUUCCGAACUUCACAGAAAGCUUUAAGUGAUAAUCCACCCAUCUCAUGUUUUGACUAUCAAAGACACACUAUCUGAAGGCUUGAAAUAUGCAUGUACACUUACAGUACUGCCUUACAGAAAACAGCAGCUGUGGACAGCUUGAGUUGAUGUCAGAGAAAAAUUUACUUUUAGAUUAGAUUGACUUUAUCAUCGACCUCAGUGGAAAAAUUUUUCUUUGGCUUCUACCAAAGUACAGUGAAAGUGCUGACACUACACAUAGCACAACACACAGUUAAAACAUAAAAUAUAUACAACAUACAACAGUGCAAAUGGGCAGGUAGCAGCAGAUAGGUAUAAAUAAUACCAGAGAGCAGAUCUUAUAUAAUAAUAACAAGUGUUCCCUGAUGCAGUCAUUCUUCGUUGGAUGCCUGUAUGGCAUAGGGAAUAAAAGAUGUCUUGUAUAUGUUCCAGCUGGCCCUUGGGGCCCUGAAUUGACAGUCAGAUGGGAGCAGCUCAAACUCUGAGUGUAGUAGGUGUGAGGUGUCUGUAGUUAUACUGUAUGUUCAGCCUUCCUGUGUACAGAACUAGCCAAUAUAUCACAGAGUUGUUUUUGUGACUUGCCAAUCACCUUCCCUUUAAUGUUAACAAUUUUGGAGAGCUUGUUUUUUUGCUUUAUUGUCUAAAUACUUUGCUGUGAAUGUCUGAACUUUCUGGAACUCUUUGUUUUAUCAUGUAGUAGACCCCACCCACCUGGCACCUAUAGUUAGGAAAAUCAAACCUUCACAACUACACUGUCUCACACUGACUUCACUCCAAAAAUGUAUGUGACACCUGAAUUAUCUGUAUUGUAUUUUUAAUGUUUCUAAUCUGACAGAAAAAA
Molecule: long non-coding RNA, 3017 nt
Organism: Thunnus maccoyii (southern bluefin tuna)
Lineage: Eukaryota; Metazoa; Chordata; Actinopteri; Scombriformes; Scombridae
Exons: 5
Source: RefSeq, a predicted model, not a curated record